RNAcentral lists this ribosomal RNA (253 nucleotides) under uncultured bacterium. RNAcentral's name for it is "partial 16S ribosomal RNA". It matches the Rfam family "Bacterial small subunit ribosomal RNA", at positions 524 to 776 of the family's 1533-position model. The record is from RNAcentral.
UACGUAGGGUGCAAGCGUUGUUCGGAAUCAUUGGGCGUAAAGCGCGUGUAGGCGGUUUUUUAAGUCGAGUGUGAAAUCCCUGGGCUCAACCGAGGAAGUGCACUCGAAACUAACUGGCUAGAAGACGGUAGAGGAAGGUGGAAUUCCAAGUGUAGAGGUGAAAUUCGUAGAUAUUUGGAGGAAUACCGGUGGCGAAGGCGGCCUUCUGGACCGAUCUUGACGCUGAGACGCGAAAGCGUGGGGAGCAAACAGG